This 219-nucleotide unclassified non-coding RNA is filed under the name plant metagenome. RNAcentral's name for it is "partial contains small subunit ribosomal RNA, internal transcribed spacer 1, and 5.8S ribosomal RNA". The record is from RNAcentral.
UCUCCGUUGGUGAACCAGCGGAGGGAUCAUUACAGAGUUGCAAAACUCCCAAACCCUUGUGAACAUACCCGUUACAGUUGCUUCGGUGGGCGGCCCCAGGGCGGGGCCGCAGCCUCUUCUCACGAGGCGCCCGCCGGAGGUAUAUAACUCUUUGUAUUAUGUCUCUCUGAGUAAAUUUAUAAUAAGUCAAAACUUUUAACAACGGAUCUCUUGGUUCUG